This 492-nucleotide ribosomal RNA is filed under the name uncultured bacterium. RNAcentral's name for it is "partial 16S ribosomal RNA". It matches the Rfam family "Bacterial small subunit ribosomal RNA", at positions 29 to 507 of the family's 1533-position model. The record is from RNAcentral.
AGUGAACGCUGGCGGUAGGCCUAACACAUGCAGGUCGAACGGCAGCACAGUAAGAGCUUGCUCUUACGGGUGGCGAGUGGCGGACGGGUGAGGAAUACUUCGGAAUCUACUUUUUCGUGGGGGAUAACGUAGGGAAACUUACGCUAAUACCGCAUACGACCUACGGGUGAAAGCAGGGGAUCUUCGGACCUUGCGCGAUUGAAUGAGCCGAUGUCGGAUUAGCUAGUUGGCGGGGUAAAGGCCCACCAAGGCGACGAUCCGUAGCUGGUCUGAGAGGAUGAUCAGCCACACUGGAACUGAGACACGGUCCAGACUCCUACGGGAGGCAGCAGUGGGGAAUAUUGGACAAUGGGCGCAAGCCUGAUCCAGCCAUACCGCGUGGGUGAAGAAGGCCUUCGGGUUGUAAAGCCCUUUUGUUGGGAAAGAAAAGCAGCAGGUUAAUACCCCGCUGUUCUGACGGUACCCAAAGAAUAAGCACCGGCUAACUUCGUG